UACGUAGGGUGCAAGCGUUGUCCGGAAUUAUUGGGCGUAAAGGGCUCGUAGGCGGCCAACUAAGUCAGACGUGAAAUCCCUCGGCUUAACCGGGGAACUGCAUCUGAUACUGGAUGGCUUGAGUUCGGGAGAGGGAUGCGGAAUUCCAGGUGUAGCGGUGAAAUGCGUAGAUAUCUGGAGGAACACCGGUGGCGAAGGCGGCAUCCUGGACCGACACUGACGCUGAGGAGCGAAAGCCAGGGGAGCAAACAGG
RNAcentral lists this ribosomal RNA (253 nucleotides) under uncultured bacterium. RNAcentral's name for it is "partial 16S ribosomal RNA". It matches the Rfam family "Bacterial small subunit ribosomal RNA", at positions 524 to 776 of the family's 1533-position model. The record is from RNAcentral.